Transfer RNA from Ipomoea nil (Japanese morning glory), 72 nucleotides. It matches the Rfam family "tRNA". From Rfam's summary of the family: Transfer RNA (tRNA) molecules are approximately 80 nucleotides in length. Their secondary structure includes four short double-helical elements and three loops (D, anti-codon, and T loops). The record is from Rfam. NCBI's taxonomy places the organism in Eukaryota, Viridiplantae, Streptophyta, Magnoliopsida, Solanales, Convolvulaceae.
GUGUGUUUGGUCUAGUGGUAUGAUUUUUCCUUUGGGUGCAAGAGGUCGUGAGUUCGAUUCUCACAAUACCCC